UACGUAGGGUGCGAGCGUUAAUCGGAAUUACUGGGCGUAAAGCGUGCGCAGGCGGUUCGUUGUGUCGGCGGGGAAAGCCCCGGGCUUAACCUGGGAACGGCCGUUGAAACUGGCGAACUGGAGUGCGGCAGAGGGGGGUGGAAUUCCGCGUGUAGCAGUGAAAUGCGUAGAGAUGCGGAGGAACACCGAUGGCGAAGGCAGCCCCCUGGGCUAACACUGACGCUCAGGCACGAAAGCGUGGGGAGCAAACAGG
RNAcentral lists this ribosomal RNA (253 nucleotides) under uncultured bacterium. RNAcentral describes it as "partial 16S ribosomal RNA". It matches the Rfam family "Bacterial small subunit ribosomal RNA", at positions 524 to 776 of the family's 1533-position model. The record is from RNAcentral.